This 80-nucleotide transfer RNA is filed under the name Limosilactobacillus reuteri. RNAcentral's name for it is "Lactobacillus reuteri tRNA-OTHER". It matches the Rfam family "tRNA". From Rfam's summary of the family: Transfer RNA (tRNA) molecules are approximately 80 nucleotides in length. Lineage: Bacteria; Bacillati; Bacillota; Bacilli; Lactobacillales; Lactobacillaceae. The record is from RNAcentral.
GCUGAUGUCGCUUAAUGGUAAAGCACCACAGUUGCUUCCGUUUCAAUGUGGAGAAGGCGGUUCGAUUCCGUCCAUCAGCA